This 440-nucleotide ribosomal RNA is filed under the name uncultured bacterium. RNAcentral's name for it is "bacterial SSU rRNA". It matches the Rfam family "Bacterial small subunit ribosomal RNA", at positions 338 to 769 of the family's 1533-position model. The record is from RNAcentral.
CCUACGGGAGGCAGCAGUGGGGAAUAUUGGACAAUGGGCGAAAGCCUGAUCCAGCAAUGCCGCGUGUGCGAUGAAGGCCUUCGGGUUGUAAAGCACUUUCAGUAGUGAGGAAGAAUACGGUAUUAAUACCACCAGUAUUUUGACGUUAGCUACAGAAGAAGCACCGGCUAACUCUGUGCCAGCAGCCGCGGUAAUACAGAGGGUGCAAGCGUUAAUCGGAAUUACUGGGCGUAAAGCGUGUGUAGGCGGAUAAUUAAGUCAGAUGUGAAAGCCUUGGGCUCAACCUAAGAACUGCAUUUGAUACUGGUUAUCUUGAGUAUGGUAGAGGAAAGUAGAAUUUCCGGUGUAGCGGUGAAAUGCGUAGAUAUCGGAAGGAAUACCAGUGGCGAAGGCGGCUUUCUGGACCAAUACUGACGCUGAGACACGAAAGCGUGGGGAGC